GGGGCGUUAGCUCAGUUGGUAGAGCAGCGGCCUCUUAAUCCGUAGGUCGAGUGUUCGAGUCACUCACGCCCCACCA
This 76-nucleotide transfer RNA is filed under the name Burkholderia contaminans. RNAcentral's name for it is "tRNA-Lys". It matches the Rfam family "tRNA". From Rfam's summary of the family: Transfer RNA (tRNA) molecules are approximately 80 nucleotides in length. Their secondary structure includes four short double-helical elements and three loops (D, anti-codon, and T loops). The record is from RNAcentral. Lineage: Bacteria; Pseudomonadati; Pseudomonadota; Betaproteobacteria; Burkholderiales; Burkholderiaceae.